RNAcentral lists this ribosomal RNA (432 nucleotides) under uncultured bacterium. Its description in RNAcentral is "partial 16S ribosomal RNA". It matches the Rfam family "Bacterial small subunit ribosomal RNA", at positions 29 to 507 of the family's 1533-position model. The record is from RNAcentral.
ACGAACGCUGGCGGCAUGCCUAACACAUACACGUCGAACGAGACCUUCGGGUCUAGUGGCGCACGGGUGCGUAACGCGUGGGAACCUGCCCUUAGGUUCGGAAUAACUCCCCGAAAGGGGUGCUAAUACCGGAUAAUGUCUUCGGACCAAAGGUUUGUCGCGUUUGGAUGGGCCCGCGUUGGAUUAGCUAGUUGGUAGGGUAAAAGCCUACCAAGGCGACGAUCCAUAGCUGGUCUGAGAGGAUGAUCAGCCACACUGGGACUGAGACACGGCCCAGACUCCUACGGGAGGCAGCAGUGGGGAAUAUAGGACAAUGGGCGAAAGCCUGAACCAGCAAUGCCGCGUGAGUGAUGAAGGCCGUAGGGUUGUAAAGCUCUUUUACCCGGGAUGAUAAUGACAGUACCGAGAGAAUAAGCUCCGGCUAACUCCGUG